UGCCAGCCGCCGCGGUAAUACGGAGGGUGCGAACGUUAAUCGGAAUUACUGGGCGUAAAGCGCGCGUAGGUGGUUUGAUAAGUGGGAUGUGAAAGCCCCGGGCUCAACCUGGGAACUGCAUUCCAAACUGUCAAGCUAGAGUAUGGUAGAGGGAGGUAGAAUUUCCUGUGUAGCGGUGAAAUGCGUAGAUAUAGGAAGGAAUACCGGUGGCGAAGGCGGCCUCCUGGACCAAUACUGACACUGAGGUGCGAAAGCGUGGGGAGCAAACAGGAUUAGAUA
RNAcentral lists this ribosomal RNA (279 nucleotides) under uncultured bacterium. Its description in RNAcentral is "partial 16S ribosomal RNA". It matches the Rfam family "Bacterial small subunit ribosomal RNA", at positions 506 to 784 of the family's 1533-position model. The record is from RNAcentral.